Molecule: ribosomal RNA, 1814 nt
Filed under: Globobulimina sp.
Lineage: Eukaryota; Foraminifera; Rotaliida; Buliminidae
Description: bacterial LSU rRNA
Rfam family: Bacterial large subunit ribosomal RNA
Source: RNAcentral
GGAGGUUGGCUUAGAAGCAGCCAUCCUUUAAAGAAAGCGUAAUAGCUCACUGGUCAAGCGGUCCGGUGCCGACAAUACAACGGGGCUAAAACUGUAUACCGAAGCAGCGGAUGCACACAUUUUGUGUGCGUGGUAGGAGAGCAUUCUCUAAUCAUUGAAGCGUAACUGGGAAGAUACGUGGAGGUUAGAGAAGAGACCCUGCCGGCAUAAGUAGCGAUAAUCAGUGUGAGAACCACUGACGCCGAAAGUCUAAGGUUUCCUGAGGAAGGUUAAUCCGCUCAGGGUUAGGCGGUCCCUAAGCUGAGGCCGAAAGGCGUAAGCGAUGGACAUCCGGUUAAUAUUCCGGACCUCCCGAUAUCUCGUUAUUACGAUGGGGUGACGCAGAAGGAUAAGCAGGACCACAUAUGGCUAUGUGGUUUGAUACACGCAAGCUGGUUUCUCCAGGCAAAUCCGGAGAGGCAUUAACAGUGAGGUGUAAAACAGUAGGCCUUACGGCCGAAAGCUGCUGAGUUCACGCUGCCAAGAAAAACCUCUAAGGAGAGAGAUUGGGAACCGUACCACAAACCGACACAGGUAGACGAGGAGAAUAUCCAAAGGCGCUCGAGUGAAGGCUUGUUAAGGAACUCGGCAAAUUAGACCCGUAACUUCGGGAGAAGGGUCGCCCACCGCAAGGUGGGCCGCAGUGAAACGCGUACGGCGACUGUUUAACAAAAACACAGGUCUCUGCAAAGUCUAAAACGACGUAUAGGGGCUGACGCCUGCCCGGUGCCGGAAGGUUAAAGGGAGAGGUUAGCCGCAAGGCGAAGCUUUGAACUGAAGCCCCGGUGAACGGCGGCCGUAACAAUAACGGUCCUAAGGUAGCGAAAUUCCUUGUCGGGUAAGUUCCGACCUGCACGAAUGGCGUAACGAUCUGACGACUGUCGGCGCGCUCCGCCCGGCGAACUUGUGGUUCCGGUGAAGACGCCGGAUGCCCGCCACUAGACGGAAAGACCCCGUGCACCUUUACUAUACCUUUGCAAUGAACUAUGGUGCGAUCUGCGCAGCAUAGGUGGGAGGCUUUGAACUCAGGCUCUUGGGCUUGAGGGAGCCAACGGUGAGAUACCACCCUGAUCGUACUGUGGUUCUAACCUACUCCCGUAAUCCGGGAGAGGGACAUUGCAAGGCGGGUAGUUUGACUGGGGCGGUCGCCUCCUAAACUGUAACGGAGGCGCUCGAAGCUUGGUUCACGCUGUUUGGAAAUCAGCGGUCGAGUGCAAAGGCAUAAACCAGGUUGACUGCGAGACCUACAAGUCAAGCAGGUGGGAAACCAGGACUUAGUGAUCCGGUGGUUCUGUAUGGAAGGGCCAUCGCUCAACGGAUAAAAGGUACGCCGGGGAUAACAGGCUGAUCGGAGUCAAGAGUUCACAUCGACGCUCCGGUUUGGCACCUCGAUGUCGGUUCAUCGCAUCCUGGGGGUGUAGAAGCUCCCAAGGGUUGGGCUGUUCGCCCAUUAAAGCGGUACGUGAACUGGGUUCAGAACGUCGCGAGACAGUUCGGUCCCUAUCUGUGGUGGGCGCAGGAAAUUUGAGGGGGCUUGUCCUUAGUACGAGAGGACCGGGAUGAACAGACCUCUUGUGAUUCAGUUGUCACACCCGUGGCACAGCUGAGUAGCGAAGUCUGGUUAGGAUAAGUGCUGAAUGCAUAUAAGUACGAAACCUUCCCCAAGAUGAGAUUUCCCUGAAGAGCCGUGAAAGACGAUCACGUUGAUAGGACGGAUGUGUAAGCGUAGUAAUGCGUUGAGCUUACCGUUACUAAUAGCUCGUUCGGCUUGUCCU